Mastomys coucha (southern multimammate mouse) is the source of this 411-nucleotide long non-coding RNA. RefSeq lists it as uncharacterized. The transcript is spliced from 2 exons. The record is from RefSeq and is a predicted model, not a curated record. Lineage: Eukaryota; Metazoa; Chordata; Mammalia; Rodentia; Muridae.
UAGACAUGCUACUUAACUUCUCUGACUAUCAUGUUUUCAUCCUUAUGAAGUUAACUGCAGUGGGACACUGGAGUACAAGUUUCACCAGAUGGUCCUACAGCAAGAGUGGAGUUCAUGAACUGUACUGAGCUCAAGGUUCCUGUCUCGAGUUCCCUGCCUUGACGUUCCUCAAUGAUGGACGUAACCCAUGAGCCAAAUAAACUCUUUCCUCCUACAAGUUGCUUUAUGUCAGAGUUUUAUCACAGCCACAUAAAAGCAGAGUGGAACAUCUAGGAUACCAAGUGUGUUCUCUCAAAUCCCCAGAAUUCUGCAUCAGCUGCCAUCCACCACAGAUGAUAAAAGAAUAAUGAAAAAUGCAAGUUCCUGUUUUGUGCCUGAGUGAAUAAAUGCUACCAAACAUUCUGAUUGUAA